Molecule: ribosomal RNA, 484 nt
Filed under: uncultured bacterium
Lineage: Bacteria
Description: partial 16S ribosomal RNA
Rfam family: Bacterial small subunit ribosomal RNA
Source: RNAcentral
AUUGAACGCUGGCGGCAGGCCUAACACAUGCAAGUCGAGCGGAUGAAGGGAGCUUGCUCCUGGAUUCAGCGGCGGACGGGUGAGUAAUGCCUAGGAAUCUGCCUGGUAGUGGGGGAUAACGUCCGGAAACGGGCGCUAAUACCGCAUACGUCCUGCGGGAGCAAGUGGGGGAUCUUCGGACCUCACGCUCUCAGAUGAGCCUAGGUCGGAUUAGCUAGUUGGUGGGGUAAAGGCCUACCAAGGCGACGAUCCGUAACUGAACUGAGAGGAUGAUCAGUCACACUAGAACUGAGACACGGUCAAGACUCCUACGAGAGGCAGCAGUGGGGAAUGUUAGACAGUGGGCGAAAGCAUGAUCCAGCCAUGCCGCGUGUGAGAAGAAGGUCUUCGGAUUGUAAAGCACUUUAAGUUGGGAGGAAGGGCAGUAAGUUAAUACCUUGCUGUUUUGACGUUACCAACAGAAUAAGCACCGGCUAACUACGUG